Molecule: ribosomal RNA, 482 nt
Filed under: uncultured bacterium
Lineage: Bacteria
Description: partial 16S ribosomal RNA
Rfam family: Bacterial small subunit ribosomal RNA
Source: RNAcentral
AUUGAACGCUGGCGGCAUGCUUUACACAUGCAAGUCGAACGGUAACAGGCCGCAAGGUGCUGACGAGUGGCGAACGGGUGAGUAAUGCAUCGGAACGUGCCCAGUCGUGGGGGAUAACUACUCGAAAGAGUAGCUAAUACCGCAUACGAUCUAUGGAUGAAAGCGGGGGACCGUAAGGCCUCGCGCGAUUGGAGCGGCCGAUGUCAGAUUAGGUAGUUGGUGUGGUAAAGGCUCACCAAGCCAACGAUCUGUAGCUGGUCUGAGAGGACGACCAGCCACACUGGGACUGAGACACGGCCCAGACCCCUACGGGAGGCAGCAGUGGGGAAUUUUGGACAAUGGGCGCAAGCCUGAUCCAGCAAUGCCGCGUGCAGGAAGAAGGCCUUCGGGUUGUAAACUGCUUUUGUACGGAACGAAACGGCUCUGGUUAAUACCCGGGGCUAAUGACGGUACCGUAAGAAUAAGCACCGGCUAACUACGUG